RNAcentral lists this long non-coding RNA (4148 nucleotides) under Ficedula albicollis (Collared flycatcher). Its description in RNAcentral is "lncRNA (ENSFALG00000023617.1)". Lineage: Eukaryota; Metazoa; Chordata; Aves; Passeriformes; Muscicapidae. The record is from RNAcentral.
GCCAAACUCUCUCUGGUAGGAGCAGUCCUGAUACCCACUGGUGAGUGCCAGGGAAGGAUGGGAGCCCCUCUCAGCACCCCGAUACAUUUACUAAGAACAGGCUUGUUUUAUGGGAGUAAAAAUGCUCUGACUGCAGUGUCUGCCCUUGCAGGUUUCCAGAGACAGAAAAAUGUUUCAGAAGGAUUUUCUUCCUCCCAAAACAACAGGACAGCAGAGCUUGACAGCCCCCAAACAUGCAGAGAUGGUGCCCAUGGCCGGUCUGUUCGUGCAGCCACUUUCACUGGCAGAGUCUUUGACAACACAGGUGGCAAGGAGGUGGGGAAAAAAGCUUCUUUGCAAGGGUCAUAUUGAUUUUUUAAUAGAAAAGAAACAGGUAAGGCACCCAAAACAACACAUUUGCAAAAUGCACAACUGAGUUCUUGCUUUGAGGCAAAUGCUGGAAUAAGGUCUAUUGCACUAAGCUGUUUCUCAAAGGGGAGAAAAAUUUCUCCUGUAGGAAAAGCUGUAGGGUGGGUGGCUCAUAGGACUCCCAGAAAUGCUGGCAGUAAAUGAGGCUUCAUGCUGCUCCUUUUGAAAUGUGUCAGUGAAAGAGAGUCCCCCACGUGCUGCAGCACAAGUGGGCAAUGGUUAAAUGGUUAAAUGCUUCUUGUUCAUCCUGAGGUACCUAAAGGCCUGAGGAGACCAGGAGCAGGAUGUAUCCUGCCCAGCUGCCCUCGGUCUUUUCUCUCAGGCAGAGUUUGGUCCUUUUAAUCCAGGCCCCCAUCAGAGCCCAGCACCAACAUGCUGUUCUGUGUACACCACCAUGAAAUGUCAUUUGGAACAGCUUUAUUUGGUUAAAAUUUCCAGAGUGCAGAGACGUGAGGAAGAACUUUGAAACUGGGGGCACAAAAAUAGAACUUUGAUCUGAAGCAUACCUUUUGUUUACCUUUUUUGUUUCAUUUUUAAAAAAUCAGAAAAUAAUGUCAAAAUUCUCCAUGAAGGUAAGUGAUGUUACAUUGGCAGAGUUGCAUCAAAGUGACACGUGUCAAAUUUCAGUAAGAUGGUUACCAUAGAAAAAUUAAGCAAGGAGCAUGACAUCUUCUGCAGAGAACAAUGGCAACAAAAAAUUUAAAAAAAAUAAAACCAACAAUUGUGUCAUUCUGCCUACGGCAACCUUGCAAAAUUUUAUUUACCCAACCUGUUUUGAUAGGCAGGCAAAAUAUAAUAAUUUAAAGGAAGAAGGAGAAAAAGGGAAGGGGUCCAUUAUCAUCACCUUGGAAAAGGAUGAGGGAAUAGAUUUUGUGCCUGAGCUGGUAAAUUCGUUGUACAUCUUCACAUGGCUGGAAUAAUAUUAUAAAGUGACUUAAAUAUAAAUGCCAUUUAAGAACUGCUCCAUAGUGAAUAGUUAAAAUGCUUCCUCAACAGAGCCUGCUUUUGCUGCUAAUUUGCUGAAGUAGAUCUGCUGUCUUCACUUCUCCGUGGCUCUCGAUAUAGCUCAAGGCUUGCUGGGGGCUCACCCGUCGUGUUCUGGCUCAUAACAAGUAAAGAGGGAGCUCGAGUGUCACCUACAAGACACUGAAAUAGGUCUGAAGGGUUGCAGGAAACCAUCAGGUCUUUAGAACGGGCGAGCUGGAAAAAGAUCUUGCCAAGGAAAACCUUGCAUGAAGUCAGCUAGCAUGUUCCCCCAGAGCAGCCAUGGGAGCACUGUGAGCAGGGGGAGCAGAGCUGCUCGAGGGCAGGGCGACCCAGAGCACUGGGGACAAAGCCCUCUGGCAGGCCACAUCAUGCUUGAUAGGCUUUUACUGUUAAACAGUUGCAAAUUGCCAUUAAUGCUCCAAUAGAACACAGAUACACAAGACUUUUCCCUUCUGUCAUGAGGCAUUAGGUCAAAAGACUGGAUAAUAACAGCAAUAUUAGUCCCACCAGAGAGCUGGGCUGACACAGGCUGCAUGGACACGUGGGCACAUUUUGGCACUUCAGGUAGUGCCAUGAUCUAACUUUCUGUCUCUCUCAUGUCACACAACACAGGGCAUUGAGCAGGCCCUGGGCUCUAGGAAGCAGCUCUGAAAAUGUGCUUAGCCUUUCAUGAUCUUUUCACCUGGCCUCUUAUGGCACAGUAGAUAAAGGAAGCUGCAACAUAAGAAAAUGGCUGGGUGGGUAUUAAAUCCCCAAACUGUUUAACACCCCCUUCCUAUACUGAUUCUCCACUAAAAACCACCAGGCUGCAAUGCAGAUGAUAAAGCUCCAUCUGACAACAAAAUCCUGACUUCACACUACCAGUCACAUCGAUCAGCAUCUGAACUAAUGUCAGAGUCUUCUCUUACUAAUGAGCUGCUGUGCUGAGGUGCAGCUUUGCUAUCAGUCAGAUACCUGUAAUGAGGUAGAAUGAAUGGCAAGACCCCUCUUCAGACGCUUUCUCUCAUCUAGCCACAGAGGGGCUUCAUUGUUCACUUAUUUUUGGUACAGACAAAGAGUUUCUUCCUGAAGGUCUCUACCAGCAUCACACAGUUACUCUAGCACCUAUUUUAUAUGUUAGCUGCAGCUGUUUGGAAAAUUUCUACCAGGAAUUAAAUUUUUUCCCCCCUUCUAAUCAUUUGUAGUCCCAGUGCUCCCAUAUAAGCACUGUGGUCCCAGUGCUUGCAUACAAUGAAAUGUACACUUCAAAAUCAAAUGAAAGUACCUUGCCAUGUUCCCAAGUUGGACAUGUUCAUAUAGCACUCUGCUUAUCUACCUACAAUGCACAUUUGUCCAGCUGUUUAUGCUUUGACUUUAAGCCAUAGCUACCAUGCAGUGGUGUAUCCUAUUUACCCAUCCCUUAAUACCACAGGAGGGAUGUGCUCCAAAUCCAUAGCUUUCCAUUAAUAGAACAAAGCCAUAGCAAUGAUUUUUUUUAAAUUUUCUUUGCCUGUCAUGGUACUGCUGAAUGGUCUGAACGGAAGUUACUGUCAGACCCAGAGGUUCUGCCCAAAUCUGAUCUAAGGCAGUUUGCUAGGAAUGUAAUUAACAGAUGCAUUGAUUGAAGAAGCACCCUAAAACUGUAAUAGAGGGAUACUCAAUGAACAGCAAGGAAAGCCCCAGCAUUUGUUACAAUCACUCUCUUUAGGUAUUAAAUUAAGUGCAGGGUGUUUUUCUGUUCUGGGGUUUAGUCUCAGCACAGACCAGGUAGCUAUUAUUUGUUACUCCUAUGAAAACAGUCAUUACAGAAAGGCUGGGCUUGGGUUUGUGCUGCAAACUGAGGUUGUGACUUGUAUCUUUCUCAUCUUCCCAAAUAUUUCAGUCGGGUUUUGUUUUUCUUUGUCUUAAACCAACAUCUUAUGUUUCUCAGUGGCAGGUCUCAGCAUGCAAUUAUUUAUGCACGUCUCAUUCCAUGCCACAUAAAAAGGGUUAUCGAGUUUUUAUCUUUAAGACUAAUGAGCUGUUGGUUAACACUUUUGAGACAAUUAACCAGAGAUAUCACUUCUUAUCCACUGACAGAGACAUUGUUGCACUCAAAUUUCUCCAGAGGGCAGGACGCCGGUCUGGAGUUGAGCACCUGCUUGGGGCUUGCAGGCGACGGGCAAUGAGAAGCCACGAGUGACCCCUGCACCGGAGCCCUGUGUGAUGGUUUAUGUGCUCUCUGACAUCAGCUGAUGACAGUUAGGGGCAGAUAGGUUGGUGGCACUCAGCAGAAGUGUUUGCAUUUGUUCUGCCACACAUGCAGCCCCUCUCAGACCAGCUAUCAGAGCAUGGCAGCUUUUCACACCGCCAAGCACCUCUCCUGCUGCCUGCAAGGGACCCAGCCAGGACUUCUCAGCACCCUGUCAGUGUCCGGAUGCUGCAUCGGUCCCUCAGGGCCAGUGGCAUCUGGCUCAGGCUAAAGCCACCCUUCAGGCUCCUCUGACUGCUGCCAAGGGACUAAAGCAGCCAAGAUCAAGGCAGAGCAAAUCACCUUCAACAAUGGUUUUAACCAUUAUCUUCAACUAAAGAUACACAAGAAAAUUGGUGAGGGUGUGAAGAAGUCUCCCAGGGUGUGUCUGCUGUGAAGAUGCAGAGACUUCUAUUUUCAUGCUCAAGCAGCUACAGGGAAGUAACCUGUAAUGUAUACAGAGUUUUCUUCUGCCUUUAAAACACGCGCCUUCAAAGUAUAUAUUUCAUUUCCUGAACAACUGAGAUUUCUUGUGACAUCAUAA